RNAcentral lists this ribosomal RNA (468 nucleotides) under uncultured bacterium. Its description in RNAcentral is "partial 16S ribosomal RNA". It matches the Rfam family "Bacterial small subunit ribosomal RNA", at positions 28 to 507 of the family's 1533-position model. The record is from RNAcentral.
GACGAACGCUGGCGGCGUGCUUAACACAUGCAAGUCGAACGGAAAGGCCCUGCUUUUGUGGGGCGCUCGAGUGGCGAACGGGUGAGUAACACGUGCGUAACCUGCCCUUGACUUUGGGAUAACUUCAGGAAACUGGGGAUCAUACCGGAUAGGAGCUCCUGCUGCAUGGUGGGGGUUGGAAAGUUUCGGCGGUUGGGGAUGGACUGGCGGCUUAUCAGCUUGUUGGUGGAGUAGUGGCUUACCAAGGUUUUGACGGGUAGCCGGCCUGGGAGGGUGACCGGCGACAAGAGGACUGAGAGAGGGACCAGACGCGUACGGGAGGCAGCAGGGGAAAAUAUUGCACAAUGGUCGGGAGUCUGAUGCAACAACCCCGCGUUCGGGAUGACGUCCUUCGGGUUAUGAACCGCUUUCGCCUGUGACGAAGCGUUAGUGACGGUAAUGGAUAAAGAAGCACCGGCUAACUACGUG